CACUUCGUGUGACACGUGCGUGCGAGCGUCAUGUACGCCGCUUGUAGUCGUGGUAACGCCGGCAACAGCUUCUCUUUUCAUCCACUUUGGCAAAUUGAAUGGAGGCGGAUUUUUUUUUUUUUUCGUGGAUCAUUGUCGUGGAUUAGAGGCAUGCAACUUAUUUCUUAUGAUAAAUGGAAUGCUCAUUAGAUUUCGGUGCACAAUAUUGUCCAAUUUUGAGCCCAUAUAAAUUGCGAAUAAAACAUUUCCUGUUAUAUCCUUGAUAAGUAGGAAAGUGUGUAACCAAUGCAUUAUUCCUGCACUAACGUGCGGAGCCGUAAGCAGCGCGAAAACGAGCCAUUUAGCGCACGAUAGCAAGCCUUCCGCCUUCCUGCUGUUUUUGUUUAUGUUUAUAAUUAAGGAAGUUGCAGGCGUAUGAUGUAUUUGGCUGGCACACAGCAGAGGCUAAUAUAUAGAGAUCUCAUCAGCCUUGCACAAAUGGGCUGAUGCUGAUAAUGACAUAAAAUCUAACGACAUCUCAGUGCGUCUCUUGCUUUACGACAAGUGCUGGUCAAGAACAUGGGUUUUCAUAGAUUCUGCAUUACUUACUGCAGCUGACACGACUUCAGAAGGGACAAGCCGGGAAUGCAGUUGGGCUGGACUCGCUUCUGGUAGUUCUGAUCCUCAAGUCCCUUGGUUAGUUUGAGGUACCAGAUGUCGACGGUAAUUCUGGAGGACACCUCUUUAUGGGCGUCUUCACAAGAUGUGUCCAUCGGUCGAGUAUUGAAAAUGUGCGCUUUGGACCCUGCCAAAAAUCCAUCUCACCAGCCUCUUGAAAAGCAUCCACUUGCUUGCACCAUUACAUGACAUAGCAGUUUGAUUCGUUAUGGAUUUAAUGUUGUGGUGGUGAUAUUCCUUGCCAUCUGGAUCCCCGGCACAGUAUCACUCGCUCGGGCCCCUGGAGCCACACCGGUCACUUCUGGACGUGUAUGGCUGGAUGCUUUCCUGCCGGCUGUGCACUUACAAGACCGAGAACAGGACCACCAUGAAAA
Molecule: non-coding RNA, 1031 nt
Organism: Dermacentor albipictus
Lineage: Eukaryota; Metazoa; Arthropoda; Arachnida; Ixodida; Ixodidae
Source: RefSeq, a predicted model, not a curated record